GAAAAUGGGUGACAAGGGUUUCAAAACUCGACAUUCAUGUUGCUGCUUUUCUUUGUGCACAAUUUAUUUCAUGGGGUGUUGUCCAACUUGACUCUUUUUUGUUCACUCAAUUUUUCUUUCUUUGAGUAUCUCAUUAUGGCAUGAGUCUUUGACUUAGGAAUUGCUUUUAUCUCAUCUCCAUUUUUCAUUUCUUUUCUCUUUUUUUUCGGCAGAAGUAUAUGUUUCUACAAACUUUUUUUCUUUCUUUUGUUGCACUUGCCCUUUUUCAAUUUUUCUAAGGAUCACCACCCCAAACUUAUCUUUUUGCACGAAUUUGACACUGCAACAGUCAUGCCGAGCGAAGGUAAGAAGUGUUUGGCUUAUGGUUAACAUAAUGGUUUUCACAAACAAGGGGGUACAGGCUCAAUGGGGUUAACAAUGGAUAAAUACAACAUUACGGAUGGCUAGAAAGGCUAAAGGGUGAAAAUAAAUAAUGUGCCUCAGUGUGCGUCUUUGUAUUGUGUUGUAUCAAUAGAACUUACGUAAAAUCAGAGAGAUAAAGUCAUACUUGAAUGCACUCUUUUGUGUUUGGUUUUGUUGAAAUCUCACCAUGUUGGAUAAGCUUACAGGCUCCAAAUCACUCUUCAUGACAAAUGGCUUCUUUUUCAGCUUCGGUCUACCAUCCCCUAUUUCGGUCUAGAGUCGCCAAGUUGCAU
This 695-nucleotide long non-coding RNA is filed under the name Lathyrus oleraceus (garden pea). Its description in RNAcentral is "Pisum sativum (pea) long non-coding RNA (PSAT_LNC014305)". The record is from RNAcentral. Lineage: Eukaryota; Viridiplantae; Streptophyta; Magnoliopsida; Fabales; Fabaceae.